RNAcentral lists this unclassified non-coding RNA (642 nucleotides) under Hevea brasiliensis (rubber tree). Lineage: Eukaryota; Viridiplantae; Streptophyta; Magnoliopsida; Malpighiales; Euphorbiaceae. The record is from RNAcentral.
CUACAAAUGGCAGAAACUAAUAUUUUUUUUUGAAACUGGUAACUUAUGGCAGAAACUAAUAUAGCGAUUGUUCUUAAAACUACAAGAGCAGGAGAUUAAUAUUGAGAGUAAGGACUAUCAUGCAAGUGCAGUAUCAGAUUACCCUUAUGCAGCCUCAGUGCUAGUCUCCUUUUCCUCUACUUCAUUUGCAGCCCCGUUUGCCUCCGCAGCACCUUGCGCAUCUUCAGUAGGAGGCUGAACCUGUUCAUCUUCUGGCAAUGGCUCCUCAACAUAGUCAUUCUCAAACGCAUCUGGAGGCACCUCAUAAAUUCUAACUUGUGGCUUGGUUGGGUCCUUAACAAGCACAUAUUUCCCUUCAUUCAACUUCAUACAGAGGUCCACAAUACUUUUCACAAUACCCCACAUGUUUGAUGUGUUCAAAUUAAUUUGUGUAGCAAAGUCUUUAGGCUUAUAUCCUACAACAGCUAAUAUCACAUGGUUAAAAUGAUCCCUGGGAUGAACUCUUGAUACAUAACCCAACUUCAUCAUAUCAGCAUUAGCUAACAGUGCUUGUGCAGUCCAUUUAGCAAGUUUAUUAGCAUUGUUCUUCAACUCAGUAGCUAACACAGCACCCCUUUGUGUCUCAAGCUUCUGCCUCCAAUC